GAUGAACGCUGGCGGCGUGCCUAAUACAUGCAAGUCGAGCGAACAGAUGAUGAGCUUGCUCCUCUGACGUUAGCGGCGGACGGGUGAGUAACACGUGGAUAACCCACCUAUAAGACUGGGAUAACUUCGGGAAACCGGCGCUAAUACCGGAUAAUAUAUUGAACCGCAUGGUUCAAUAGUGAAAGACGGUUUUGCUGUCCCUUAUAGAUGGAUCCGCGCCGCAUUAGCUAGUUGGUAAGGUAACGGCUUACCAAGGGAACGAUGCGUAGCCGACCUGAGAGGGGGAUCGGCCACACUGGAACUGAGACACGGUCCAGAGUCCUACGGGAGGCAGCAGUAGGGAAUCUUACGCAAUGGGCGAAAGCCUGACGGAGCAACGCCGCGUGAGUGAUGAAGGUCUUCGGAUCGUAAAACUCUGUUAUGAGGGAAGAACAAAUGUGUAAGUAACUAUGCACGUCUUGACGGUACCUAAUCAGAAAGCCACGGCUAACUACGUG
Molecule: ribosomal RNA, 497 nt
Filed under: uncultured bacterium
Lineage: Bacteria
Description: partial 16S ribosomal RNA
Rfam family: Bacterial small subunit ribosomal RNA
Source: RNAcentral